ACUCUUUUAUUGUCCUCAGACAGCCAACUGCACAUCAGUGACAAGCUCUGCUGGUUGUGUCCAGCCCAUAUGACAGGUCUGAAGCAGACGUGAAGCACCAAACACACUGUCCCAAAGGAGCAGACCAAUAUCCUCUCCCAUCAAAAGGGAGAGUGACCUGAUUUGACUUGCUUUGGGCAAUGUGGGGCCACCCAGGGAUUUUGUUCACAGAACAGAAUGAGCUGCAAAAGGGAUAAAGAUCAUUCACAGGAACCUUGAAAGAACUGCUUGAGCUCCAUGAAAUGAAGAUUAAAAAUAAAACAGGGAGGUUGAGGCGCAGGCUCCAGCACGAGCACCUUAUAAACACUUGGCCUUAGAAGCGCGAGUGCUUCCUAGCGGCCCUGAGAUGUGCAGAAGAGCAGGCACUGGAGGUCCUUGUGCAGCCCUGGAGGAAUCCUGGUCCUGCCUUGUCCCAGGAUUUGCAGCCCUCACAGCAGAGCUGGGGGGGCAGCAGCUCUCAGCUGGGGUCACCAUGAGGAUGAGAUGGGAGAAGGGUUGGACCUGCAGGACCCUUUGCUGCAUGCACAACCAUGGAGGAUGUCCUCACCACUGCUUCCCUUUGUGUCAAAGCGUACCAUGCUGAAAUGAAAGCCAGAUCUUCAUCAAAGAGCACGGCGUGUCUCUGGGUGUGAUUUCUUUGUGGGAACAAAUGCAGCCCGAUUCAUGCAGAUGUGGUCCUGGGUGAGGAGGACAGCUUCCAUUGCAGCUACACAGCACCCAGCUCAACAGGAAUGGGGAAUAACUUCAACAAAAGGAGCAGAACUGGACCUUGCGUGAUGCAGAUGCACUAGGGCUUGUCAGUUUCUCCAACGAGGUGCUGAUCGCAGAAAUGAUCGAUGUCGCUGGGAGAGAAGAGCCGCACGGUGCCAGGCUCUGCCCUGCUCUCCUGCACUGCGUGGGCUCAGCAGGGCUCUGGCCCUAUGGGCUUUUGUCUUUCCUGGAGAGAAAAAAACCACGUGGAUGCGAGGUUUGAGCUACAAGCAGAUUUCUCCCUUGCCACCCUACAUGGGCAUCUGGAGGUUUCUGAAGCAGACUUUCAGCAGCUGUGUGAGGGAAAGCUAUUCAAAUGGGAGAGGAGGAAAAAUGGAAAACUACCGACGUUGUAACAUCACAAUCAAAUAUGUAAGAACUGGAAAGAUGUGUUCAUUAUCUCCUGAGCUGUUAUCACCAUAUCAAACACAUGGGAUCACUCUGGGAUGCUUGUGUCUGUGGCCAGGCACUGCACACCCCAUUGAGGGAUGGCAGAACUCCAGCAGGUCCCCACCUGGCCCAGGAGGGGAUGAGAUGAAGAGGAGACUCUGACCAUGCUGUUCCCAACUGAUUUCCCACCCACAGUGGAAGACGUGAAGCAUUUCUUAUCUUCAAUAUGGAGAGACUGGCCUCUUUCAAACACAGAUUGGGAUACAACCAUCUCCAGGCUCCAUUUGCCCUGAUGAACUUCACCUGGACCUGUUGCCUCUCACCCCACAUCUCCCUUCCCUGUGCUGCAUUUAAGCUCAGGCUCCCAGCAUUAUUCUUCUCCUGGUUGAGCUGUGCUCUUGGCUUCCUGUUUGUCCUUGGAUUUGCUUCAUCACUGGACUGCUUUUCCUUGCUUUGAUCCUGUACUUCGUUGAUAGUGAUGCUGCUGCCCGCUUUGCUUCCUCAUUCUUUGGAGUUGCUUCUCAAUGCUGCAGCCCCAGCACACUGCAAGCAGCGUUUAGGAAGGAUUCACUUUCUGCCACAUAGGAGCAUUUGGAAGCCAUUAUUAUUAAAUUAAUCUAGGUGGCUUGACAAGACCAUUGUGCAGCGUGCUGGCCUCUUACCUCUGGACAUGCAAGAACACUCCGUCUCAUAAAAGCACACAUUGCUCCCCAUUCAUCUUCACUGUGAGGUUCUUGGGGCGUGCUGCUGUCCAAGGAAAGUGAUGGGAGCAACGUGGGGCAGAAUGUGGGGAUUCACUGGAUCCCCUGGUGGGAUUAUUCAGCACUCCCCCUUAUGGGGACUGCCAGCCCUGCCUCAAACCCGGGUGCUGGUGACACGUGCAGUGGUGUGA
Non-coding RNA from Coturnix japonica (Japanese quail), 2071 nucleotides. NCBI's taxonomy places the organism in Eukaryota, Metazoa, Chordata, Aves, Galliformes, Phasianidae. The record is from RefSeq and is a predicted model, not a curated record.